RNAcentral lists this ribosomal RNA (400 nucleotides) under uncultured eukaryote. RNAcentral's name for it is "SSU rRNA". It matches the Rfam family "Eukaryotic small subunit ribosomal RNA", at positions 587 to 992 of the family's 1831-position model. The record is from RNAcentral.
AGCUCCAAUAGCGUAUAUUAAAGUUGUUGCGGUUAAAAAGCUCGUAGUUGGAUUUCUGCCGAGGACGACCGGUCCGCCCUCCGGGUGAGCAUCUGGUUCGGCCUUGACAUCUUCUUGGUGAACGUAGCUGCACUUGACUGUAUGGUGCGGUACCCAGGACUUUUACUUUGAGGAAAUUAGAGUGUUUCAAGCAGGCAUACGCCUUGAAUACAUUAGCAUGGAAUAAUAAGAUAGGACCUCGGUUCUAUUUUGUUGGUUUCUAGAGCUGAGGUAAUGAUUAAUAGGGACAGUCGGGGGCAUUUGUAUUCAAACGACAGAGGUGAAAUUCUUGGACCGUUUGAAGACAAACUACUGCGAAAGCAUUUGCCAAGAAUGUUUUCAUUAAUCAAGAAGAAAGUUA